AUAAAGUUUGAUUCUGGCUUUAAAAAUUAAUUGUAUAAAUAAAUUAUAUGUUUUUGUUUAAAUUAAUUUAAAUUCAGUAAUUAGUAUUAUAUUUUUAUUAAAAUAAUAAUUAGAAAUUUAGUUAUAGUUGAUAUAUUUUGUGCCAGAAAUCUCGGUUAAACAAAAGAUUAAAUUUAAUUUUUUUAGUUUUUACAUAUAUUAUAUAAAUAAAUUUUUCAUACAAUAAUUAAGUGAAAUUUUUAUUUUAGUUUAAAUUUAUAAUUAUGUUGUAAUAAAUUUUUUGUAUAAACUAGGAUUAGAUACCCUAUUAUUUUAAAACUUGUAUUAAAACUAGAAUACUAAUAGCUAUGUUCUUUAACCUCAAAGAAUUUGGCGGUAAAUAAUUUAAUUAGAGGAAUCUGCUGCUUAAUUGAUAAACCACGAUAGUUUAUACCUUUAUUUAAUUUGUAUAUCUCUAUGUUAGGAUAUUUUUGUAGAACAAUUUUCUUUAAUUUUUAUUAAAAAAUGUUAGGUCAAGGUGCAGUUUUGUUCAGGUAGUUGUGGAUUACAUUAAAAUUUUAUAUAUUAACUUUUUAUAGUUUAACUUAAUUAAUUUUAGGAUUUAAUAGUAAUUUUAAUUAAUUAAUUAAUUUGAACUUAAUUUUAUUUAUGUACAUAUCGCCCGUCACUCCUUAGUCAACUAAGGAUAAGUCGUAACAAAGUAAUUUUACUGGAAGGUGAAAUUAAUCAUU
RNAcentral lists this non-coding RNA (731 nucleotides) under Mesargus serrata. Lineage: Eukaryota; Metazoa; Arthropoda; Insecta; Hemiptera; Cicadellidae. The record is from RNAcentral.